GACAGCGAGAUCAUGACCUGAGCUGGAGUCAGCCGCCCAACCGACUGAGCCACCCAGGCACCCCCGAUGUAGUUAAUUUUAAAAUGUGUUUCCUGUGGCAAAGAUCCUGGAAUUAAAGAGUGACGUUUACUCUCUCAUCCACACCAGAGUUCCUCAAAUAUCCAGCUCUCCUAUCUCUCAUUGGUUUCUUCUCCUCCCACUGGCACAGCGAUCCUUUCAUCCCGGGAAGCUAUCCGCUCAGAUGAAUCGUAAAAGGCUGGCUGGGACCACGGGGCAGGCUGGGGCCACGGAGGAGGCUGCGCUGGGCCAGCUGUGGGACUCGACACUGCUCUGGG
Long non-coding RNA from Prionailurus viverrinus (fishing cat), 335 nucleotides. RefSeq lists it as uncharacterized. Lineage: Eukaryota; Metazoa; Chordata; Mammalia; Carnivora; Felidae. The transcript has 3 exons. The record is from RefSeq and is a predicted model, not a curated record.